GCACAAAGAGAAUAAAGGAGAUAUGAUCUCCUUGACGCAGAGCUUUAUGCACAACAAAAUACCUACCUUUUUUACCUUCCAUAAACGACCAUGUUGACCGAAGUUAUAGCUGACAUGAUGACCCUCGAUAUGUUGUUAGGAAGCCCAAUUUCCUUUAACGUUUUAUCCACAAAUUUCCAGUUGAGCAUGUCGUACACCUUAGAUAAGUCAAA
RNAcentral lists this long non-coding RNA (212 nucleotides) under Lathyrus oleraceus (garden pea). Its description in RNAcentral is "Pisum sativum (pea) long non-coding RNA (PSAT_LNC013652)". The record is from RNAcentral. Lineage: Eukaryota; Viridiplantae; Streptophyta; Magnoliopsida; Fabales; Fabaceae.